This 2920-nucleotide ribosomal RNA is filed under the name Bacillus cereus VD154. Its description in RNAcentral is "bacterial LSU rRNA". It matches the Rfam family "Bacterial large subunit ribosomal RNA". The record is from RNAcentral. Lineage: Bacteria; Bacillati; Bacillota; Bacilli; Caryophanales; Bacillaceae.
UUAAGUUAGAAAGGGCGCACGGUGGAUGCCUUGACACUAGGAGUCGAUGAAGGACGGGACUAACGCCGAUAUGCUUCGGGGAGCUGUAAGUAAGCUUUGAUCCGAAGAUUUCCGAAUGGGGAAACCCACCAUACGUAAUGGUAUGGUAUCCUUAUCUGAAUACAUAGGGUAAGGAAGACAGACCCAGGGAACUGAAACAUCUAAGUACCUGGAGGAAGAGAAAGCAAAUGCGAUUUCCUGAGUAGCGGCGAGCGAAACGGAACAUAGCCCAAACCAAGAGGCUUGCCUCUUGGGGUUGUAGGACAUUCUAUACGGAGUUACAAAGGAACGAGGUAGACGAAGCGACCUGGAAAGGUCCGUCGUAGAGGGUAACAACCCCGUAGUCGAAACUUCGUUCUCUCUUGAAUGUAUCCUGAGUACGGCGGAACACGUGAAAUUCCGUCGGAAUCUGGGAGGACCAUCUCCCAAGGCUAAAUACUCCCUAGUGAUCGAUAGUGAACCAGUACCGUGAGGGAAAGGUGAAAAGCACCCCGGAAGGGGAGUGAAAGAGAUCCUGAAACCGUGUGCCUACAAAUAGUCAGAGCCCGUUAACGGGUGAUGGCGUGCCUUUUGUAGAAUGAACCGGCGAGUUACGAUCCCGUGCGAGGUUAAGCUGAAGAGGCGGAGCCGCAGCGAAAGCGAGUCUGAAUAGGGCGUUUAGUACGUGGUCGUAGACCCGAAACCAGGUGAUCUACCCAUGUCCAGGGUGAAGUUCAGGUAACACUGAAUGGAGGCCCGAACCCACGCACGUUGAAAAGUGCGGGGAUGAGGUGUGGGUAGCGGAGAAAUUCCAAUCGAACCUGGAGAUAGCUGGUUCUCCCCGAAAUAGCUUUAGGGCUAGCCUUAAGUGUAAGAGUCUUGGAGGUAGAGCACUGAUUGGACUAGGGGUCCUCAUCGGAUUACCGAAUUCAGUCAAACUCCGAAUGCCAAUGACUUAUCCUUAGGAGUCAGACUGCGAGUGAUAAGAUUCGUAGUCAAAAGGGAAACAGCCCAGACCGCCAGCUAAGGUCCCAAAGUGUGUAUUAAGUGGAAAAGGAUGUGGAGUUGCUUAGACAACUAGGAUGUUGGCUUAGAAGCAGCCACCAUUUAAAGAGUGCGUAAUAGCUCACUAGUCGAGUGACUCUGCGCCGAAAAUGUACCGGGGCUAAAUACACCACCGAAGCUGCGGAUUGAUACCAAUGGUAUCAGUGGUAGGGGAGCGUUCUAAGGACAGUGAAGUCAGACCGGAAGGACUGGUGGAGUGCUUAGAAGUGAGAAUGCCGGUAUGAGUAGCGAAAGACGGGUGAGAAUCCCGUCCACCGAAUGCCUAAGGUUUCCUGAGGAAGGCUCGUCCGCUCAGGGUUAGUCAGGACCUAAGCCGAGGCCGACAGGCGUAGGCGAUGGACAACAGGUUGAUAUUCCUGUACCACCUCUUUAUCGUUUGAGCAAUGGAGGGACGCAGAAGGAUAGAAGAAGCGUGCGAUUGGUUGUGCACGUCCAAGCAGUUAGGCUGAUAAGUAGGCAAAUCCGCUUAUCGUAAAGGCUGAGCUGUGAUGGGGAAGCUCCUUAUGGAGCGAAGUCUUUGAUUCCCCGCUGCCAAGAAAAGCUUCUAGCGAGAUAAAAGGUGCCUGUACCGCAAACCGACACAGGUAGGCGAGGAGAGAAUCCUAAGGUGUGCGAGAGAACUCUGGUUAAGGAACUCGGCAAAAUGACCCCGUAACUUCGGGAGAAGGGGUGCUUUCUUAACGGAAAGCCGCAGUGAAUAGGCCCAAGCGACUGUUUAGCAAAAACACAGCUCUCUGCGAAGCCGUAAGGCGAAGUAUAGGGGGUGACACCUGCCCGGUGCUGGAAGGUUAAGGAGAGGGGUUAGCGUAAGCGAAGCUCUGAACUGAAGCCCCAGUAAACGGCGGCCGUAACUAUAACGGUCCUAAGGUAGCGAAAUUCCUUGUCGGGUAAGUUCCGACCCGCACGAAAGGUGUAACGAUUUGGGCACUGUCUCAACCAGAGACUCGGUGAAAUUAUAGUACCUGUGAAGAUGCAGGUUACCCGCGACAGGACGGAAAGACCCCGUGGAGCUUUACUGUAGCCUGAUAUUGAAUUUUGGUACAGUUUGUACAGGAUAGGCGGGAGCCAUUGAAACCGGAGCGCUAGCUUCGGUGGAGGCGCUGGUGGGAUACCGCCCUGACUGUAUUGAAAUUCUAACCUACGGGUCUUAUCGACCCGGGAGACAGUGUCAGGUGGGCAGUUUGACUGGGGCGGUCGCCUCCUAAAGUGUAACGGAGGCGCCCAAAGGUUCCCUCAGAAUGGUUGGAAAUCAUUCGUAGAGUGCAAAGGCAUAAGGGAGCUUGACUGCGAGACCUACAAGUCGAGCAGGGACGAAAGUCGGGCUUAGUGAUCCGGUGGUUCCGCAUGGAAGGGCCAUCGCUCAACGGAUAAAAGCUACCCCGGGGAUAACAGGCUUAUCUCCCCCAAGAGUCCACAUCGACGGGGAGGUUUGGCACCUCGAUGUCGGCUCAUCGCAUCCUGGGGCUGUAGUCGGUCCCAAGGGUUGGGCUGUUCGCCCAUUAAAGCGGUACGCGAGCUGGGUUCAGAACGUCGUGAGACAGUUCGGUCCCUAUCCGUCGUGGGCGUAGGAAAUUUGAGAGGAGCUGUCCUUAGUACGAGAGGACCGGGAUGGACGCACCGCUGGUGUACCAGUUGUUCUGCCAAGGGCAUAGCUGGGUAGCUAUGUGCGGAAGGGAUAAGUGCUGAAAGCAUCUAAGCAUGAAGCCCCCCUCAAGAUGAGAUUUCCCAUAGCGUAAGCUAGUAAGAUCCCUGAAAGAUGAUCAGGUUGAUAGGUUCGAGGUGGAAGCAUGGUGACAUGUGGAGCUGACGAAUACUAAUAGAUCGAGGACUUAACCAU